Long non-coding RNA from Bombyx mori (domestic silkworm), 694 nucleotides. RefSeq lists it as uncharacterized. The record is from RefSeq and is a predicted model, not a curated record. Lineage: Eukaryota; Metazoa; Arthropoda; Insecta; Lepidoptera; Bombycidae. The transcript is spliced from 2 exons.
CUUCUUCUUCUUCUUCUUCUUUUAGAUAAUUUGGCUCCAACGCCUUUGGCAUUGAUUUUGCCAAUGUCAAAGUAUUUACAAAAAUGACAGGUGCUUAGAGAGGGAAAAAAUUACUAAAUCUAAAUACAAGUAAAUUUGGUCGGUUUUUCCAUACGCGAAUCUGUGGUUUUAAGAACAGCACAAACAAAUAUAUGUUAGACUAACUACUUUAGAGAUAAAUAUUAUUAGCAGAUAAAAUUUUACACAGAAUAUUUACAUGUUUAGAAUAGACUAAAGUUAAUAAACAAUUAAUAUUAAUAGGUCGGGGAAUGUCAUUGGGAAGGAUAUCAUAAAGAGGGGAUACGAUAUUGGGGCAGUCGAAGAAAAUGUGAUCCAGGGUACCCUCAUCUAAUCCACACUCACAAAGAGAAUGGUCACGGACUCUAAUUUUGGCAAGAAAAACAGGGGAGCAAACAUGGCCAAGUCUAAGACGGAUUAUAGCUGAGACAAUUUUUUUAGGAAGAUGGCAGUGGGAGGAAAACCAAGGCUUAGAGGGCAGGCCCAUAACAACAGCCUCCUUGGCACAGGAGUCAGCAAGCUCAUUCCCACAAAUUCCGCUAUGACUUGGGAUCCAGACGAGAGUGACAUCAAGUCCGGAGCAGUGACAUUGAAACAGAGUUUCUUUAAUUUUUAAUAUAAUUUCAAAAUUGACUUU